Molecule: ribosomal RNA, 433 nt
Filed under: uncultured bacterium
Lineage: Bacteria
Description: partial 16S ribosomal RNA
Rfam family: Bacterial small subunit ribosomal RNA
Source: RNAcentral
AACGAACGCUGGCGGCAUGCCUAACACAUGCAAGUCGAACGAGACGUUCGGGUCUAGUGGCGCACGGGUGCGUAACGCGUGGGAACCUGCCCUUAGGUUCGGACUAACUCCCCGAAAGGGGUGCUAAUACCGGAUAAUGUCUUCGGACCAAAGAUAUAUCGACUUUGGAUGGGCCCGCGUUGGAUUAGCUAGUUGGUAGGGUAAAAGCCUAUCACGGCGACGAUCCAUAGCUGGUCUGAGAGGAUGAUCAGCCACACUGGGACUGAGACACGGCCCAGACUCCUACGGGAGGCAGCAGUGGGGAAUAUUGGACAAUGGGCGAAAGCCUGAUGCAGCAAUGCCGCGUGAGUGAUGAAGUCAGUAGAGUUGUAAAGCUCUUUUACCCGUGAUGAUAUUGACAGUACCGGGAGAGAAAGCCCCGGCUAACUCCGUG